AGAACGAAGCCCCGCCCCGGAACGAAGCCCCGCCUCCAGCAACUCUCUGCCCGGAGAGAGGCCCGACAGCUGCGACCCGACUGGUUCUGUCCGAGCCCGACGGGCCGCGCUGACCCAGCGACUGUGCCUGACUGACCACAGGUCAGUGGAUUCAAAACGAUGAAAGUGGAUUCAAAACCUCUGUCAAGGGGUGCUGUCCUUUCCUGGCCAAGUCUCUUUUAUUCUCUUAGGGCUGCAACCUCUUCACCUGGGAAAUGAAUGGUCCUGUGAUUUACAAGAGCAGAGACAGAGUUUCACCAUGUUGUUCAGGCUGGUCUCCAACUCCCGACCUCAAGUGAUCUGCCUGCCUUGGCCUCCCAAAGUCCUGGGAUUACAGGGUCCAGGCUGAAGGUGCAGGCCCUAUCCAAGACACAACAUUUCCAGUGGCAGAGAUAAAAAAGUAAGAUUUCAGACUCAAACAUGCAAUGGCACUCCAAGUUUCUGCUUCGAACUGGCAUGUAUCUCUCUAGCUCACAUUUCAUUGGCCAAAGGAAGUCAUGUGGUUAAGCUUGACAAUGGGCUGGGGAAGUGCACUCCUUCCUCUGGAAGGUACACAAGUCACAUGGCAACUGGCUAGGAUGGAUAAUUCUCUUACUGGCCAAGGGAAGGGCAAAUAAUGGAGAAAAAUAAUACGUCAACCACAGGGGUUGAGUAACUUUCCCAAGAUCAAACCACUGGGAAGGGACAGAGGCAGAUUCAAACUCAGACAGUCUCCAAAGCCAUAGUGAACUCCAUGGCUCCCUACUGCCUGUUAGAUGGAAUCCAAAUAUAUUUAAGCUUUAGGGCAUUCCUGCAGCCUGGAGGGCCCUUCUACC
This 854-nucleotide long non-coding RNA is filed under the name Homo sapiens (human). RNAcentral describes it as "novel transcript". Lineage: Eukaryota; Metazoa; Chordata; Mammalia; Primates; Hominidae. The record is from RNAcentral.